This 67-nucleotide non-coding RNA is filed under the name Trypanosoma brucei brucei. The record is from RNAcentral. Lineage: Eukaryota; Euglenozoa; Kinetoplastea; Trypanosomatida; Trypanosomatidae.
AGUGAUUAUAAUAGAUAGGAUGUAGAUAUAUAUAGAGUAGAUAGUUAUGAUCACUUAUAGUAUAUAU